This is a microRNA precursor of Medicago truncatula (barrel medic), 116 nucleotides long. It matches the Rfam family "MIR2593 microRNA precursor family". The record is from Rfam. Lineage: Eukaryota; Viridiplantae; Streptophyta; Magnoliopsida; Fabales; Fabaceae.
UUAUAAGCAAAAAUUUACAUUUUAGAUUCAUUCAUUUAAUGAUGCACAUGGUCUUUAUUGUAGACCACAUACAUCAUUAAAUGAAUGAACCUAGAAUGUAGUUUUUUUGCUUAUAU